AGCGGGGGGAGGGGGGCAGCUUGGAGGAGGGGGGUGCGUCUGGCUCCAGGAAGCGGCUUCGAAGGGCCCGUCAGUAUCACCUUAGCAUCGGCAGUCAACAACCGUCGUUCCGAGGCUCCGAGGAGGCCCUAGCUCUUUGCACAGGGCGCUCCCACCCCUGCUUAUGGCCUCAGACCCGAGCGCCUGGACACAGACACCGCCUCUGCGCAGGACUGCUGAACGCCUUCAUGGAGUUGUUGUUGUUUGGUCGCUAAGUCGUGUCUGACUCUGCGACCCCCUGGGCUGUAUGUAGCCCGCCAGGCUCCUCUGUCAGUGGGAUUUCCCAGUUACUUCAGCAGAAGCCCCAGGGUUCACGGAUUUGCCUGACUUGAAUCCUGGAGGCACCCCUGAUUGGUCAUAAACCAUGCCGCCCCCCAAGGGGAUGAGAUGAGCCCGCAUGACCAGGAGACUGCUGGAGGAGAGACAGCCCUUCCGAUGGAAGUCAGAAGACAGUCCGGAUACUGGAUUCCAAGCCCACAAAUGCUCAUCACGUUGAUCCCAUCUGUUUUGUUUUAUUUUAAACACGCAUCCUCAGAACAAUUAUACUUCUCAGGGCCUGGAGGACAGGCAGCCACAUGUCUCUAAACUUAUCAGUGCUCAAGAACAUUUUGUGCAGCGUUUGGUUGAUCAAAUGACUCACAGAUAACUUCCACAUGCAACAUUUGGGACCCUGAAAAAGUGACCAAAGUUCACCCCUUCCCAGUGAUUACCUUACAGAAGCUGUUUCCACCUGUGAACUGGCGAAAGUAUGGAAGUUAGCUCUAAUACCAUUAUUCAGCUUAAUUCUUAUUGUAAGCAACUCGUGUAUUUACAGAAUUUUAACGCUCACAUCUGUGUCACCAAACAAACACCCUUGAAAUAAUAACACGCCUCUGUAAUAUCAGAGCAUGGCAACCAGGAAGCAUUGGAUAAUUGGGUUUGGAGAGGACAGUAGAAAAUACUGUCCCUUUGUCUUUGGGGUGAAUAAAAGAUACAUGUGCUUCUGA
This is a long non-coding RNA of Dama dama (fallow deer), 1025 nucleotides long. RefSeq lists it as uncharacterized. Lineage: Eukaryota; Metazoa; Chordata; Mammalia; Artiodactyla; Cervidae. The record is from RefSeq and is a predicted model, not a curated record. The transcript has 2 exons.